Molecule: long non-coding RNA, 2033 nt
Organism: Phasianus colchicus (ring-necked pheasant)
Lineage: Eukaryota; Metazoa; Chordata; Aves; Galliformes; Phasianidae
Source: Ensembl
CACCAAUAAGAGGCAGCAGAAACCCUCAUCUGGACAACCAGGGAGUUGUCAAUUACAAAUUGUGCAGAGUUAACAGAACACUGGUAUGCUGACAGGCUUAUCUUGUCCUGCCAAAGAUCCCAGUGAAACCAGGCACAGAGAAGGAAGCUAACACUGGUAUUACUUGCUUAUAAUAGCUUUUAGCUGCUUUGGAGAAGUGGCACCCAACUGUGUUGCCACAAUAGAUAGGAUGGUCUUAAGUCAGUUACACUUGCCAAAGAAGGUAUUUAUUUCCAGUGCUCAGUGAAUGUGGAGGGGGUUGGCCUGUUGAGUGCCUGCUGCUGUGGCAAUAAUACCUACAGCAGCUUAACCCAGAUCCCACUGCUGAGCCUUGGCCAAAAGCUCCCUUUGAGUGUAUUUAAGGUUCCGUGGUACUGAGCCAGUGCUGCAGUCACCUCUCUUAGCAUAAGCAACUCCACUUCCAACAGUCCUCUUUGUGAGAGCAAACAAUGAACUGGGGUUACCUCUCCAGAAGAGCCCCAAAGAAGUUUUCCAUUGAUUUGGAUUCCCCAAGUCAAGACAGAGAAUUUAUCAGCUCCAUCUGUUUUGGUGGAUGGGACAAUGAAAAGCAUAACUCAGCUGCUGCUCAUGUGAGCAUCUCUCAGGACCUCAAUACCACCAGCUUCCCUCAGCUGAAGGAAAAUCGGUGACCUUAGCAGUGAAGGGAAAAGUUUACUCUUCUCCCCACCUUAAUCAAGUGCUUUGUGCUUCUGAAUUUAAUCUGAUCUUACAGACGUUUCUGCAGCUCGUGUUCUCUCCAUGUCUUUGCUGGAGGCACAACUUUAUUCCAGCUGCUCUCCAGAGAUGUGUGGAUGUAUCCCUGAAACGUGAAGGCUGUGGCUCUGAGAAUUCAUGGGCCACACGGGCUUCUAAUGGGACAGGCAGAAGGCCUGAAGGCUUGGGAGAUGGCAAGAGCAAAUCUCAGGAACGUUUUGUCUUCAUCCCCAUCCCCUUGGUGGAAGAGUUUCCAUUGGCAAAUCCUGAUCUGAUGUGAUUCUGCCAGCAGUUCUCCAGCACUCCAAUGCUCCAUGUAACAGCUGAGGCGUUGCAGUCAGAAAGGAAACCUUAAACUUGGGUUUUCCAUCAUCUUUUUCCUCUCAUCUCCUGAAGAAUCCCUAAGACUCAUACGAUUUUCCAGGCUCUGAGACAGAAGUAAGACUUGUUUGAUUGUUUCUGUGGCAAAUUAAAGGGUUUGUGGCAAAUUAAGGAAUAUCAUCUCUAUCCAACAUGUGCAAAUCCCAAAGAUAACAGUUUAAAUGGUCCCAAUGUAAAUGUCUGUAUCUUCAGGGCUGACUACAGAAGUGACAUAAAAAGGCUUUGGGGCAACAACUGUGCACUUGUUUGUUCUUUUGCCCAGCAGCUGUCACAGUGAGUCUUUCUUCUGUGCUAAAACUUUGUUGUAUUCCACUCUAACAAGUAGUAAAAACAACAGCAGAAGUGGUGGGAAGCUGCAGCUGAAGGGAAACUUAUUCCAGAGCAGUAUUUAAUAGGCUGUGCUUCCAUCUACCCAAUGUGACUGGAACAGAACCAUGCUGUAACUCACCUAAGUGGCCUCUGUCAGCUCAAAUAACAGUCGUAGCUAAGAAAGCUGCACCUUGAAUUUCACCACUGCCACAUGUCUGCCCUUUUCCAAAUCUCAGAAGCAAUUCUGUGCUCGCUGCAGGAUGAAUCCCUACUGAAAAGCAUUGCUCUCGUUUAGGGGACCUCAGAGGAGUGAACGCAGUGAUUUGCUCAGCACACACUGCUCUCAGUUUACUUCUCACUGCCCCUUCCCCAUCUUAUCCCCUUUGUUACCCCCACUCUCACCUGCAGCUCUUUGCACUGGCUUUAUUUCACGCAGCACCUCGCAAAGCAGAGCUGUUCUCACAGCCUCUUGUCAUUACAUCCAAGGAAACCCAAAGAUGGAUGUUUCCUUACCCUGAAGCCCCCAGCUGCUAUCUCUAUAGCACAUAACUCUCACCAACACGGCUCGCAUUUGCAGGAUACAGAAUUGA